AGAGUUUGAUCCUGGCUCAGAGCGAACGCUGGCGGCGUGCUUAACACAUGCAAGUCGAACGCGCAGCAUUCUGUAGCAAUACAGGGUGUGGGCGCGUGGCGAACGGGUGCGUAACACGUGGAUAACCUUCCUUCAGGUGGGGAAUAACCCAGUGAAAAUUGGGCUAAUACCGCAUAACAUGACGAUGGCACAUGCUGUUGUCUUCAAAGGCGCAAGUCGCCAGAAGAGGGAUCCGCGGCCGAUUAGCUUGUUGGCGAGGUAAUGGCUCACCAAGGCAUUGAUCGGUAGCCGGACUGAGAGGUUGACCGGCCACACUGGAACUGAGACACGGUCCAGACUCCUACGGGAGGCAGCAGUGGGGAAUCUUGCACAAUGGACGAAAGUCUGAUGCAGCAACGCCGCGUGGGGGAUGAAGCUUCUCGGAGUG
This 427-nucleotide ribosomal RNA is filed under the name uncultured bacterium. RNAcentral's name for it is "bacterial SSU rRNA". It matches the Rfam family "Bacterial small subunit ribosomal RNA", at positions 8 to 425 of the family's 1533-position model. The record is from RNAcentral.